Molecule: long non-coding RNA, 738 nt
Organism: Canis lupus familiaris (dog)
Lineage: Eukaryota; Metazoa; Chordata; Mammalia; Carnivora; Canidae
Exons: 2
Source: RefSeq, a predicted model, not a curated record
UGGUGGCAGAGUUACUGUCAUCAAAGAUUGUAUGCUUGGGGGGGGGGAGGGCUUGAUGUCUUCUAUUUCCAAACUCGUGGUGGCAGCAGGAACGUAAAAGCCGCAUACAAGAGGAUGCCACACUUGCCUUCCCUUCGGUGCGUGGUCACACCGCGGGAAGGUCUCGAGUGGUAUGGCGCAGGGCUCGUCAUCGACUCUCCGGCAGGUUUAUUGCUGGCUUUCUAGACUGUCACCUGUACAAACAAGGGCAGAGAUCUUGUUUGUUUUACUUGAAGUCACAUCCGCAACGUGGAAAGCAGAAUAAUGGCACCUCCAGAGAUGUUUACUUUCCGAUCCCUGGAACCCACGAACAUGCCAGGUUGCGUGGCAGGGGGGCUUAAGGUUGUUGAUCAGCUGACCCGGAGAUGGGGAGAUGGGGAGAUGAUCCUGGAUUAUCUGCGGGAUCCCACUGUAGUCACGAGCAUCCUUAAAUGUGGAGGAAAGAGGCAGGAGAGAGGAAGCCAGAGGGUUGGCAGCGUGCGAAGGACUUGGCCUGACUGGCGGCUUUGAACGUGGAGGAAUGAUCUAGGAGCCGAGGCGCCUAGAACCUGGGAACGGCAAAGGAACGGCUUUUCUCCUAGAACCUCCAGAAGGAAGAAGAACCUGUGGACACCUUGAUUUUUUUUUGCUUAGCCGGACAGUUUUGGAUUUGCGGCCUCCAGAAGAACUGUGAGAUAAUAAAUGUGUUGUCUUGAGCUA